Molecule: transfer RNA, 65 nt
Filed under: Alpheus inopinatus
Lineage: Eukaryota; Metazoa; Arthropoda; Malacostraca; Decapoda; Alpheidae
Description: tRNA-Thr
Rfam family: tRNA
About the family: Transfer RNA (tRNA) molecules are approximately 80 nucleotides in length. Their secondary structure includes four short double-helical elements and three loops (D, anti-codon, and T loops).
Source: RNAcentral
ACUUUAAUAGUUUAAAUUAAAACACCGGUCUUGUAAAUCGGAGCUGGAGAACGCUCCUUAAAGUG